UGCCCUGGGUAAGUCGGGACCUAAGGCGAGGCCGACAGGCGUAGUCGAUGGACAACCAGUUGAUAUUCUGGUACCGGCGUAGCAACGCCCGUGUCGAGGUCAGUGAUACUAAGCACGCAAGAUCAGCUGUCGGCCACCUUUGGUGGUUGUGGUUGGUUGAGUCUGUGACCUGAACUGGUAUUAGACAAGCUGCGGAGGGACGCAGGAAGGUAGCCCAACCCACGUGAUGGUUAUCGUGGGCUAAGAGUGUAGGACGGCGUGUAGGCAAAUCCGCACGCUUUAUGUUUGAGACUUGAUGGCACUGGCAUCUACGGGUGUUGGUGUGGGUGAUCCUAUGCUGCCUAGAAAAGCUUCGUGAGCGAGUUGUUAAGCCGCCCGUACCCUAAACCGACACAGGUGGAUAGGUAGAGAAUACCAAGGCGAUCGAGAUAAUCGUGGUGAAGGAACUCGGCAAAAUACCCCCGUAACUUCGGGAUAAGGGGGACCUGAUCCGUGGCCAUCUUUUCGAUGGGUAGCGGUGAGGGUCGCAGAGACCAGGCCCAAGCGACUGUUUACUAAAAACACAGGUCCGUGCGAAGUUGUAAGACGAUGUAUACGGACUGACUCCUGCCCGGUGCUGGAAGGUUAAGGGGAACUGUUAGCUGUAAGGCGAAGCGGUGAACUUAAGCCCCAGUAAACGGCGGUGGUAACUAUAACCAUCCUAAGGUAGCGAAAUUCCUUGUCGGGUAAGUUCCGACCUGCACGAAUGGAGUAACGAUUUGGGCGCUGUCUCCACCACGAACUCGGCGAAAUUGCACUACGAGUAAAGAUGCUCGUUACGCGCAGCAGGACGGAAAGACCCCGGGACCUUUACUAUAGUUUGGUAUUGGUGAUCGGUACGACUUGUGUAGGAUAGGUGGGAGACUGUGAAGCUUGGACGCUAGUUCAGGUGGAGUCAUUGUUGAAAUACCACUCUGGUCGUUCUGGUUAUCUAACCUCGGACCAUGAUCUGGUUCAGGGACAGUGCCUGAUGGGUAGUUUGACUGGGGCGGUCGCCUCCCAAAAGGUAACGGAGGCGCCCAAAGGUUCCCUCAGCCUGGUUGGCAAUCAGGUGUUGAGUGUAAGUGCACAAGGGAGCUUGACUGUGAGACAGACAUGUCGAGCAGGGACGAAAGUCGGGACUAGUGAUCUGACGGUGGCGUGUGGAAGCGCCGUCACUCAACGGAUAAAAGGUACCCCGGGGAUAACAGGCUGAUCUUGCCCGAGCGUCCAUAGCGACGGCAUGGUUUGGCACCUCGAUGUCGGCUCGUCGCAUCCUGGGGCUGGAGUCGGUCCCAAGGGUUGGGCUGUUCGCCCAUUAAAGCGGCACGCGAGCUGGGUU
Molecule: ribosomal RNA, 1360 nt
Filed under: metagenome
Description: bacterial LSU rRNA
Rfam family: Bacterial large subunit ribosomal RNA
Source: RNAcentral